GCUCCGGUGGCCCAGUGGUAGCACUCCUGCCUGCUGUGUGGGCGACCCGGGUUUAAAUCCCGCCGUUGGCGCC
Molecule: non-coding RNA, 73 nt
Organism: Gymnothorax javanicus (giant moray)
Lineage: Eukaryota; Metazoa; Chordata; Actinopteri; Anguilliformes; Muraenidae
Source: the annotation of a GenBank genome assembly